This 493-nucleotide ribosomal RNA is filed under the name uncultured bacterium. Its description in RNAcentral is "partial 16S ribosomal RNA". It matches the Rfam family "Bacterial small subunit ribosomal RNA", at positions 29 to 508 of the family's 1533-position model. The record is from RNAcentral.
AGUGAACGCUGGCGGUAGGCCUAACACAUGCAAGUCGAACGGCAGCACAGUAAGAGCUUGCUCUUACGGGUGGCGAGUGGCGGACGGGUGAGGAAUACAUCGGAAUCUACUUUUUCGUGGGGGAUAACGUAGGGAAACUUACGCUAAUACCGCAUACGACCUACGGGUGAAAGCAGGGGAUCUUCGGACCUUGCGCGAUUGAAUGAGCCGAUGUCGGAUUAGCUAGUUGGCGGGGUAAAGGCCCACCAAGGCGACGAUCCGUAGCUGGUCUGAGAGGAUGAUCAGCCACACUGGAACUGAGACACGGUCCAGACUCCUACGGGAGGCAGCAGUGGGGAAUAUUGGACAAUGGGCGCAAGCCUGAUCCAGCCAUACCGCGUGGGUGAAGAAGGCCUUCGGGUUGUAAAGCCCUUUUGUUGGGAAAGAAAAGCAGCAGGUUAAUACCCCGCUGUUCUGACGGUACCCAAAGAAGAAGCACCGGCGAACUUCGGGC